Long non-coding RNA from Manis pentadactyla (Chinese pangolin), 4324 nucleotides. RefSeq lists it as uncharacterized. The transcript is spliced from 2 exons. The record is from RefSeq and is a predicted model, not a curated record. NCBI's taxonomy places the organism in Eukaryota, Metazoa, Chordata, Mammalia, Pholidota, Manidae.
CCACCCCUCCCCUUUGGUAACCACUAGUCUCUUGGAGUCUGUGAGUGUGCUGCUAUUUUGUUCCUUCAGUUUUAGCACCAUCAGAUUUUUUAACUUUUUCAGUCAAAAUGUGUUAAAUGUUAUCUUAGUCUUGACUUACAUUCCCUUGAUCAAUAAUAAUGCUGAACAUCUCUUCACAUUUUUAUCAGCAGUAUGAAUUGCCUCUUCUAUAGUAUAUUAAUUUAUAUUUUUUGCCUGUUUUUCUUAUGAUGCAUUUAUAUAUUUUUAAUGGCAUGAGGAAUCUUUUAUGCUUAAUACAAAUUAUUUUAGAUUGUGUUAACUAUAUCUUCUCAGAGUCUUUAACUUAUUUUUCCAUCUUUGAAGUAUCUCCUGAUAAACCAAAGUUCUCAAUAUUUGAUGGGAAGAAGGUGGGGCAGAGACCAAAUGAAAUAUACCUUCUUAACAAAUUAUGUAGGCAUCACUACUCAGCUAACUAUUUGAGGUAAAAAUUAUAAAAAUUACCAUCCUAAGUAUUGUUAAGGGAUAUUGAGCAAUCAGAACUUGCAUGCUGCUGGGAAUAUAAAAUGGUAAACUGCUUUGGAAAAUAUUUUUUAAAAUAAAAAAAAAAAUUAUUAAGUUAAACAUGCAUUUACCAUUUGAUCCAGCCAAAGGUCUGAGGUUCUUAUGUAAACUAUGGUGACUACAGUUGAUAAUACUGUGUUAUAUAAUUGAAAUUAGCUAAGAGUAAAACUUAAAUUGUGGUGGUGCUUUGCAUUUUUCCAAGGAAUAAUGAUGUUAUGCAUCUUUUCAUGGGGCUAACUGCCAUAUCUUCUUUAACUAUUUUUUUCUUUUGUUCCUUGUGCCAUGUCUAAAGACUAAAAUAGGACAACAGUGAUAAAAUGUCACUUUAAAGAUUAAGAUAUAAAAGACUUCCAUCUUAAUUGAUGUUUUGCUCUCUCUCACUUGCUCUGAUGAUACAAGCUGUCACGGUGUGAAAUGCCUUAUGAAGAGGCCCACCUGGGCACUAAGGGCAGCCCUGAGCCAACAGCCAGCACUGAAUUGAGGCCCCUCCAGUCCAACAAGCCAUAAGAGGCUGAAUCUUGCUAACAACUACAUUGGUGAGCCUGGAAGCAGAUCCCUCUCCAGUUGAGCCUUGAAAUGAAAACCUCAAGCAGCACUUCACUGCACUCAAGAACUAGCCAUACUAGACCACACCCAGAUUCCUGAUGCAGCAGCUUAUGAUGGUAAAUAUUCAUUCUUUUAAACCACCACAUUUUGGAGUACUUUGUUACACAGCAAUAGUUAGCUAAUAUAGCAUCUGCUGAAAUGACCAUAUGGCUUUUCCUUUUCAGUUUGGUUAUAUGGUGUAUAUUUGUCAUUGCUUCAUUUUUUCAUGAUUAACUUUUCUUGCAUUCCUAGGAUAAACCCCACUCAUUCGUGAUGGUUUAUCCUUCUGGUACAGCACUGGUUUUGAUUUGUUAAAUUUUGCUAAGAUUUUUAAUAUCAGUGUGAAUGAGGGAUACUGGUGCAUAAUUUAUUCCCCUUGUGUUGUCUUUAUCUUGUUUUGAUUAAUGUUUGACAGAAUUGGGUCAUCUGGGCCUACCCUUUUCUUUAGUAGAUAAGAUAUUUGUGUUAACAUUCCUUCUUAUGUAAGCUUUACUAGUUGGUAUAUUUCAAAGAACAUGUCCAAAAAAAUUGCUGAAUUUAUGAUAAUAAGAUUGUUCAUAAUAGUGCUUUAUUCUCUCAAUGGCUAUCAACUCUAUAAUUAUGGCACCCUUUUUUCUUUACACUGGUUAAUUUAUUUCUUCUCUUUUAUUCCAGGCCAAUCUGGAGAUUUAUAAAUACUACUGAUCUUCUAAGAAAACCAAAAUUUGAUCUCAUUUCCUCAAUUGUUUGUUUUCUAUACCAUUGCUUUCUCAUACUUAUUGGUUCUUUUCUUUUCACUUUGGUUUUUUGACAAUAUUGAUCUAAUCAUUCUCCUUUCCUAACAUAGUCUUUGUACUUCUAAAAAGUCCCCUAUAAGGACUGUUUAAGCUAUAUCUCACAAAUCUGAUUAUGUUGCUAUUAUCAUUCUGUUUGAAAUAUUUCCUCAUUUCCUGGUUUUUCUUACAGCAUCCUUAUGGGUUUCAGUAUCUAGUCUAUGCUGAUCUUAGGAAAUGAGUUGGAGAAUAUUUUCUCUUUUGGAAGAAUGUAUGUAAAGUUGGACUUACUUGUUCCUCAAGUAUUUGAUACAUUUAUCUAUGAAUUUUAAUUGCAUCUGUGAAUUUCAUUUUGUUUUGAAAAUAUGCAUAAUUUUAGUAUUUGUUGAACAGAUAUUCAACAUAUAACUCAUACAUUUAUUUGGUGGUGAAAAGGCUACGACUAUUUUGCAUAUAAACAAUCAUCAGCCUUACCACAAAAAUGAAAUAAUAAAAUGUAAGUCAAUCACUGCAACAUGAGAGCUACAAUGCUAUUCAUUCUGUACAUGGGUUUCUCAAAGCCACAAGUAUUCAAUUCCACAAAUUACUAUAAAAAUUUAAAUACAUAAAUAUUAUUCCAUUUGGUAGCAGCUACUUAAAUGAGGUAUUUUACACAAGCUAUGUAACAACAUUCGUUUUUUAUACCACUCUCAAGUAUAAAACUACUGUUUUGCUACUGGGAAACACACACACACACAAGCAAAUAAUUUACCAUGAAAGAUCUUAUUCUGAGCCAUGAAAUAAAUCUCAGUGAAUUUAAAAGUAUUUAAAUCAUACAAUAUAUAUGUUCUGUAACAACAAUGAAUUAAACUAGAAAACAGUAACAGAAAGUCUUCUGGAGAUCCCUAAAUAUAGGGAAACUAACACAUUCUAAAUAUAAGUCAAAGUAGAAAUCAAAAGAUAUUGUUAAUGACUAAGUGUUGAAAGUUUUCCCUUUGACAUCAAAAACAUGAUAAAGACGCAUGUUAUCAUUAUUCCUACUUAGUACUUUAUUAAAGGUCCUAACCAUCUAGGUAAAGCAAAAAAUAUAUAUAAAGCUUACAACCAAAAAAUUAUAAUGAUUUAUAGAUGAUAUAAUUGCAAAUACAGAAAAUUUAUACCCAUCACUUAAUAAUUAGAAUUAACAAGAAUUUAAGAAUGUUGCUAGCUAUAAAAAUCAAAUGCUAAACUAAAUAUUUCUAUAUAAGAGGAACAUGCAGAAAAUGAAAUUUAAAAUAAAUAGCACGUAUAGUAGCAUGGAAGAAUUUUAUGUACUUUGUGUAUAAAUCUCACAAAAGAUUCUCAAGACAUCUGUAAUUAAAAAUACAAAAUUUCACUGACUUACAGAUUUUAAUAUAGAAAUAUAUGCUAUUUCAUGGACUGAAAGAAUGCUGUAAAGGUUUCAGUUCUUCCAAACUGAUCUACAGAUUCACAGGAAUCAUAACAAAAAUCCAAAACCUUCUUGCUUUUGUAGAUUUGACAAAAUACUUCCCCAAAUUGACAUAUAAAUAGAAAAUGGUGAGAAUUGUCAAAAACUUAUGAGAUGCAGCCAAAGCAGAGCUUAUAAAUAAAUUUACUCUACAUGCUUAUAUUAGAAAAGGCCUAAAAAUCAAUGAUCUAAGCACCUCCCCUAACUAGAAAAAGAAGAGCCAAUUAGACCUAAAGAAAUUAGAAAGAAUAAAAAUAAAAACUGAAAGGAAAAAUUCCGUAGAGGGGUUCAACAGCAUAUUUGAGAGGGCAGAUCUUAAAAGAAAGAUGAAUUGUGAUCCCCCAAUCUUAAUAACAGGAAGAAAAAUAAUGAAGAAAAAAGAACAGAGCUUAAGAGACCUGUGGGACAUUACUAAAUAUAUCAACUUAGACAUAGCAGGAGAAUAAUGACCAAAAACUUCGCAACUUUGAUAAACAAAUCCUAACAAAUUCCUGGUAGGAAAACUCAAAGAGAUCCAUGCUGAGAUACAUUAUAAUCACACCGCCAAAAAAAGGAAUCCUAAAAGCAGUGAAAGAAGCAAUUCAUCAUAAUAAAAAGAUCCUCAAUGAUUAAUAGCCAAUUUCACAUGCAAAACUAUUGAGGCCAGAAGGCAGUCAUGUAACAUUUCCAAAGUGGUAAAAAGACUGUCAACCAAGAAUUCUAAUGCUAGCAGAAUUAAUCUUCAAAAUUGAGAGAAAAAUUAAGAUAUUCUCAGAUAAAUAAAAUCAGAUAAAAUUUUCUGUUAGAAAGAUAGUGGAUGUGUCCUCCAAGAAAUACUAGAAAUAAUUGAUCAGGAUAAACUGAAAGGCACUAGACAAGUUGUAAUUUUUUUUCCCCAAAAAGGAAAAAAAAGCACUAUUAAAACCAAGCCAUUAUUAAUCUGAAGUGUUAGAAAUUAAAUGUUAAUUGUAAUCCUCAGGACAACCACCUAGAAAAUAAA